CUACGGGGCGCAGCAGUGAGGAAUAUUGCACAAUGGGGGGAACCCUGAUGCAGCAACGCCGCGUGGAGGAUGACGCAUUUCGGUGUGUAAACUCCUUUUAUAUGUCAAGAAAAUGACGGUAGCAUAUGAAUAAGCACCGGCUAACUCCGUGCCAGCAGCCGCGGUAAUACGGAGGGUGCAAGCGUUACUCGGAAUCACUGGGCGUAAAGGACGCGUAGGCGGGCUAGAAAGUCAGGUGUGAAAGCCUAUGGCUCAACCAUAGAACAGCACUUGAAACUCCUAGUCUAGAGGAUGGGAGGGGGAGAUGGAAUUAGUAGUGUAGGGGUAAAAUCCGUAGAUAUUACUAGGAAUACCGAAAGCGAAGGCGAUCUCCUGGAACAUAACUGACGCUAAGGCGUGAAAGCGUGGGGAGCAAACAGGAUUAGAUACCCUCGUAGUC
RNAcentral lists this ribosomal RNA (439 nucleotides) under uncultured bacterium. Its description in RNAcentral is "partial 16S ribosomal RNA". It matches the Rfam family "Bacterial small subunit ribosomal RNA", at positions 339 to 795 of the family's 1533-position model. The record is from RNAcentral.